GUGCUUGCUUUAGCAGCACAUAUACUAAAACUGGAACUAUACAGAGAAGAUUAGCAUGUCCCCUGUGCAAGGAUGACAUGCAAAUUUGUGAAGCAUUGCACAUUAAA
Small nuclear RNA from Dromiciops gliroides (monito del monte), 107 nucleotides. The record is from RefSeq and is a predicted model, not a curated record. NCBI's taxonomy places the organism in Eukaryota, Metazoa, Chordata, Mammalia, Microbiotheria, Microbiotheriidae.